AACCUUACCUGGUCUUGACAUCCACAGAACUUUCCAGAGAUAGAUUGGUGCCUUCGGGAACUGUGAGACAGGUGCUGCAUGGCUGUCGUCAGCUCGUGUUGUGAAAUGUUGGGUUAAGUCCCGCAACGAGCGCAACCCUUAUCCUUUGUUGCCAGCGGUUAGGCCGGGAACUCAAAGGAGACUGCCAGUGAUAAACUGGAGGAAGGUGGGGAUGACGUCAAGUCAUCAUGGCCCUUACGACCAGGGCUACACACGUGCUACAAUGGCGCAUACAAAGAGAAGCGACCUCGCGAGAGCAAGCGGACCUCAUAAAGUGCGUCGUAGUCCGGAUUGGAGUCUGCAACUCGACUCCAUGAAGUCGGAAUCGCUAGUAAUCGUAGAUCAGAAUGCUACGGUGAAUACGUUCCCGGGCCUUGUACACACCGCCCGUCACACCAUGGGAGUGGGUUGCAAAAGAAGUAGGUAG
This 466-nucleotide ribosomal RNA is filed under the name Enterobacter cloacae. Its description in RNAcentral is "bacterial SSU rRNA". It matches the Rfam family "Bacterial small subunit ribosomal RNA", at positions 967 to 1433 of the family's 1533-position model. Lineage: Bacteria; Pseudomonadati; Pseudomonadota; Gammaproteobacteria; Enterobacterales; Enterobacteriaceae. The record is from RNAcentral.